GUGGUGUACUUCCUGGUGAAGUGGUGCUCUCUGCCGUACGAGGACAGCACGUGGGAGCUGCAGGAGGACGUGGACGAGGCCAAGGUGGCCGAGUUCCGACGGGUGCAGGCGCGAAACCCCGAGCUCAAGAGACAGCCCCGCCCGCAGGCGGGGGCGUGGCAGAAGCUGGAGGCGUCGCGGGAGUACAAGAACCACAACCGGCUGCGCGAGUAUCAACUGGAGGGGGUCAACUGGCUGCUCUUCAACUGG
Neopelma chrysocephalum (saffron-crested tyrant-manakin) is the source of this 249-nucleotide long non-coding RNA. RefSeq lists it as uncharacterized. The transcript has 2 exons. The record is from RefSeq and is a predicted model, not a curated record. Lineage: Eukaryota; Metazoa; Chordata; Aves; Passeriformes; Pipridae.